AGCAAAUGGCCAAUCUGUUGAUUUGGCCAUUUCAUGCAGAACAAUAUAACAAUAACAAAAUUCCAAGCUCUUGCAAAUAUUGCAGAGGUUUCUUUGAAUUUGCAUUAAUUAUUGCGAUUGCAAAAUCACAGUUUCCUGAAGGGACUGUAAGGUGCAUCGUAACUUGGUUUCAUUCAUAUUCAUAAAAUUCACCAACACUCUUGUCUAAAGUCAAUUUUCCAACAUUUCAGCUGUGAUCUCUGCUGUCUGAAAACUUCUCGUGUUCACUCCUCUUUGAACUGACAUGUCUGAACUGCUGGUCUCACCGAUGGCACAUAGCCUGUAUAUAAAGAUGGACGUAGCAAAGUAUGACAUCACCUGUUAGUUUCAUUGGAGCCAUUUGAAGCCCUGAGUUGCAGCUUAUGGUCAGUGCCAUUUUCUACCUUGGACUGGAGCUAACGCUAGCUUACUGGGAACACCAAGCGAUGCACACCUGGGCUAAAGUAAAGGAGUAAUACUCAACGAAGGACCUCACAUUUACAGUAAUACCAGUAUGUUGUCAAGGAGCAAUCAGCUGCUUCUCAUCCUCCACUUCAUACCUGGAUUGUUUGCCUUUGUUCAUUUGUUAAGCAGCAGCCUUCAUCUCACACAGUAACAGAGAAGUGUCCAUCCCAUCUCUGCUUGACCUCUCACAUCAAUCUUCUCUCCAUUACACUCAGAUCGAGGUCAAUCUCUCCGCAGGCUCAGCGGUGGAUGACGAACCGCCAGCCUCAUUUUCUCAUUUGUGUCAAGUCUCAGCACGCAGUCGUCACGCUCAGUGAGUGUCUCCAUGAUUUAAAAAGCUUUGGAAUAAUUCAUUUGCUCAAGAACUCUUCAACGGUCAUCCAAAGUGCAACUGAGGAGAAAGCAAUCAGCAGAGCGACUCUGGGAAGAUUGUCCUUGACUUCACUGUUACUAGACAACAAAGACUAUGCGGCAAGAGGCUUCGGUCUCUGUCAAUAUGAGAACUGACACUCGCAACCUCGAGUGUGUGUGUCCUGAUUUUGUCUUUAUCUCAGCUGCUCCUGACCUCCUCACUCCACUAAAUUGAGGCCGCUCGGGCCAGGUGAGGCUCUUUUUUUUUUUACAGCCCUGGUUCAGCUUUUAUCACACUGUUCUGUGGUUUUUAUGAGUUGUCUCUUUAAGAGAAAAUGUCACUGAGGUAAUUCUCAAUGUGCUGACACAGACAUCUAAUAAACAUUUAGCCUGGUUUAAUCUUUUCUAUCACAGGUGCUUUAAAGGGCUAAACUCCACAUCAUCAUGAGACUACACUGAAUUCGAUUUCCCACAGGUUGGGGUUUUAAUCUCAAGCCCACCAGUUGAGCCUGGCCCAAAAGAUACGGGAAAUAAGAUAAGUGAAUAGACGACAAUGAUGGCAGGUAGUACAAAUUGUUAAGAUAAAAAAAGGACAGAUGAUGUUUGAAGGAUUUUACAGCAACAAAAGGGUUAGAGCUCAUUCACCAUUGCUGCUGUGUAUCACAGAAUAAAUCCAGUCUUAUCAAAGGUCUAUUUUUAAAAAAGGGAAAAAGCUCCAACAUUCAGCUCGAAGAUAUACAUGAUACUGACAUGUUGGCUGGUGUUCAUAUCACCAGCAGAUAUGCCCGGUAGCGUCAACAUGUUGAGAAAUACACCUGUUCACACUUGCAUGAAAAGAUUGACACAACUCUCAUGUCUGUACAAGCUAGUUGGCUAGUUUAGCACAAAAACUGGAAACAGGAGGAAACAGCUACCUUGGCUCUGUCCAGCAGGAAUAAAAUCCACAUCUCUACAUUCACUUAACAUGCUGUAUCUUGUUGGUUUAAUCCAUAAAACAGCCAAAGUGUAAAAACAACAAUUUGCUGGUUUAUGGGGGAUUAUGUGCCAGACUGAUUUCUUGGCUGUAACUUCUCUGCUGGUCGCCAAGAAAUAUUUUGGCACAUAACCCCCUGCAGCAAUGUGUUGUUUCUACGCAUCAGUUUUUGUACUGAUUAAACAAAUGAGACACAACAUAUGUAACGUGUGUAAAAAAGCGCCGCCCCCCCAAACAAUAGCAUGACAAAUGCUGUCAGGUGUCAAAGUUCAGUCUUGAAAUUAGUCGUCUUACAAAAAACUUUAAAUUAGAUUUUCCCAAAGUAUUUAACCACAUCUGUUUGAGCAACUUUAUCUGCUGAUGUACACUGUGAGAUGUGGCUGAAAUCUCCAUAAAAAGCUAGUUGUCCUCAUUUGUUUGAGUUGUUCUCCCUCUGAUUUGUUCCACUUUGCCUCAUCCACCAUCCACCAUACCUCUUAGGCCAAGAAGCCUUUUUUUGAGUUAUCUAUCCCUCUAUUUUAGGUUGCCCUCACUUGUGUGAGGAGUUGUUCUCCUGCCGAUUUGUUCCAGUGUGCCUCACCCAAGGUCGUCUUUCGCACGGUGAAAUCCCCCCCGGGAGAUUUUGAUGGAGGCCAAAAGGUGUGAGAUGUCAAUUGAGAUGCAGGGGAUGCAGGGGAACACCGCUUUGUUUUAUGAAUGCACAUUACUUUGAGAGUAAGGCCUGUCCUUCAGCUGCUCCCGGGAGAGUUGAAGAGAGGGUCGGUGGACAGCGAGAGAGGAAACAAGCAACGAUCUCCAGAUAAACAAGGAAACACAUUUAACUGUACGUGUGUCAUCAUCUACAGUGUCGUAACAUACUGAUCAUUGACGGAAUACAUAUCGCGAUAUAGCACAUUUUCUGUAAAUUCAAUGAAUAUUUUAUAUAAAAUGACCACAUUGAAAGGCCUAUUUCUUGUUACAUUUUGAAUUAAAAGGUACAUACUCAUAUUUGAUUAUUUUCUCCUUUUUAUUUAGAACCUUUGUGCAAAUUUUCAAUUAAGCAUGUAUAAAAUAUAAAAAGGUAAAUAGGAAACACUUUUCAACUGUAGUUGCAAACACUAAAAUGUGAACAUGGUCAAAAAUAUCAUUGGGCUACUCAGAAAUACCUUCAGUUUGUAUGUGAGUUGUACUGUACAUGUUUUAGAACAGUUUUUUUAUGAAAAAAAUGUGUUUUCCCACAUCAGCCUCCAGUUCCAAAGCUGUUCUUCUUUACACCAGCAGGACUUUACAUGUAUGCAAAUUAUUUAGGCAUGAGUGUGUCUGAGUGCUGACAUCUGUAUUAAUUUGCAGAGCUCAGACGUCAAUGAAUCUGUUAUCUUCUAAAAAUUUUUAUCUCUGCUCUGUCUUUCUUGUUAGCGGAGAACAGUUGCCUGCUGCCACAUAUAUCACAGCUCACCUGAAAGCUGUGUAAAGUCAAUUUUAUAUAGCCUCAUAUCACCAAAAAAAAACAGAUUUGCCUGAACAGUCUGAACAGCAUUUGACAACCUCUAUCCUUAGACUCUCAAUUCAGAUAAAGAAAACCUCAGGAAGAGGAGGAAUCCCUCUUCCAGGACAGUCAGGAAAUAGAUUUGUGUACAGAAUAAACUAAGAAAGCAAAAUGACAAUAUGGAAAAUCAGGAUGACAAAAUUAUAGAUGGAAGAUACUGCAUGAGGUGAAUUUGAGUCAAAAAUUAUACUCAUUCUCAGAGUCAUAACUCAAACAUGAAGCACAUAUUGAUAUCAGAUUCGGUAUGACUUACACAUCCCCAGGAUAUCAUUAUUUCCUCCAUAAAUCCAUUUAAAAACCAGAGAAAAAAGAGGCAGCAGAACUUGCCUGAGAAUCAUCAUAUUUUUAAGUUU
This is a long non-coding RNA of Thunnus maccoyii (southern bluefin tuna), 3685 nucleotides long. RefSeq lists it as uncharacterized. Lineage: Eukaryota; Metazoa; Chordata; Actinopteri; Scombriformes; Scombridae. The record is from RefSeq and is a predicted model, not a curated record. The transcript is spliced from 6 exons.